CAAAAUGUAGCUUAACAAAAGCCUUUCGCUUACACCGAAAACAUGUCUGUUAAAUCCGGACCACUUUGA
This 69-nucleotide transfer RNA is filed under the name Hylomantis granulosa (granular leaf frog). RNAcentral describes it as "tRNA-Val". It matches the Rfam family "tRNA". Rfam says of the family: Transfer RNA (tRNA) molecules are approximately 80 nucleotides in length. Their secondary structure includes four short double-helical elements and three loops (D, anti-codon, and T loops). The record is from RNAcentral. Lineage: Eukaryota; Metazoa; Chordata; Amphibia; Anura; Hylidae.